CGUGCACUGGUGGGGUCCCUCAGCCUGGCCUGUGCCCUCUCACAAUCUGGGACCCCUCAGGGGAUGUUGGAGAGCCUGAUCCCACAGGCCAGGCUGAGGGGCCCCACUGGUGCAUG
This 116-nucleotide microRNA precursor is filed under the name Myotis davidii. RNAcentral's name for it is "mir-9193 microRNA precursor family". It matches the Rfam family "mir-9193 microRNA precursor family". Lineage: Eukaryota; Metazoa; Chordata; Mammalia; Chiroptera; Vespertilionidae. The record is from Rfam by way of RNAcentral.